RNAcentral lists this ribosomal RNA (412 nucleotides) under Candida albicans. RNAcentral describes it as "partial large subunit ribosomal RNA". It matches the Rfam family "Eukaryotic large subunit ribosomal RNA", at positions 193 to 583 of the family's 3401-position model. The record is from RNAcentral. Lineage: Eukaryota; Fungi; Ascomycota; Pichiomycetes; Serinales; Debaryomycetaceae.
GAACAGGCCGUCACAGAGGGUGAGAAUCCCGGGCGAUGAGAUGACCCGGGUCUGUGUAAAGUUCCUUCGACGAGUCGAGUCAUCAGGAACGCAGCUCUAAGUGGGUGGUAAAUUCCAUCUAAAGCUAAAUAUUGGCGAGAGACCGAUAGCGAACAAGUACCGUGAUGGAAAGAUGAAAAGAACUUUGAAAAGAGAGUGAAAAAGUACGUGAAAUUGUUGAAAGGGAAGGGCUUGAGAUCAGACUUGGUAUUUUGCAUGCUGCUCUCUCGGGGGCGUCCGCUGCGGUUUACCGGGCCAGCAUCGGUUUGGAGCGGCAGGAUAAUGGCGGAGGAAUGUGUCACGGCUUCUGCUGUGUGUUAUAGCCUCUGACGAUGCUGCCAGCCUAGACCGAGGACUGCGGUUCUACCUAGGA